AUUAAACGCUGGCGGCAGGCCUAAUACAUGCAAGUCGAACGGCAGCACAGCAGAGCUUGCUCUGUGGGUGGCGAGUGGCGGACGGGUGAGGAAUACAUGGGAAUCUGCCCAGUCGUGGGGGAUAACGUAUGGAAACGUACGCUAAUACCGCAUGCGCCCUAAGGGGGAAAGCCGGGGACCGCAAGGCCUGGCGCGAUUGGAUGAGCCCAUGUUCGAUUAGCUAGUUGGCGGGGUAAAGGCCCACCAAGGCGACGAUCGAUAGCUGGUCUGAGAGGAUGAUCAGCCACACUGGAACUGAGACACGGUCCAGACUCCUACGGGAGGCAGCAGUAGGGAAUAUUGGACAAUGGGGGCAACCCUGAUCCAGCCAUGCCGCGUGAGUGAAGAAGGCCCUCGGGUUGUAAAGCUCUUUUGUCCGGAAGAAAGCAAUCGGUUAAUACCCGGUUGUUCUGACGGUACCGGAAGAAUAAGCACCGGCUAACUUCGUGCCAGC
RNAcentral lists this ribosomal RNA (493 nucleotides) under uncultured bacterium. Its description in RNAcentral is "bacterial SSU rRNA". It matches the Rfam family "Bacterial small subunit ribosomal RNA", at positions 30 to 512 of the family's 1533-position model. The record is from RNAcentral.